UAUAAAUGUCAGCUCGGGUUGAAUGAUGUGUUAACGAAAGCGUAGCAAGAUUUAUCCUUCUUCAAAGCCUUCAUCGUCAUUCACGAACAUGAAACAUUUUCAUUCUUUGAUGUCUUUCGUCCAACUAUGGCCAUGCUUAGAAUGAAUGCCGCUGACCUAUUCGCUCUUUGUUUGGGACUGCAGGAGACAUGCUCUGAGGGGAUUUGAUCUCCAUGUGAAAGCAUUUUUAUCUAAGUUGGUCGAGUUGACUGAGUGCACCACCAAGUUUGCAAAACAAUAUCAGAUUCCAGCUGUCAUCUGGCAGGAUUGUGACACAAAGGGACCAAUGUCAUAUUACGAGCUAGAUUGACUACAUUUGCAUAAUAUACAACCAGACGGCAACACAGGAAUAUGACUCAGAAAGUUUUUUGCGUAAAUCCAUUGUUUUCGACUCCUUUUAUUCCAAUGCCAAAAUGAAGGGAAAAAAAAAGAGGAAAAGAACAGCCUGUUCCAAGAAAAUCUUCAAUUAUUUGAUGGAAAAGUGGCUCACCCGUCAUGGCACUGAGGCCCACCGCGAACGAAUUUUUGUACUUUAGAGUGCAAACAACAACAAACAAAAAAAAAAAAUAGAUGGAUAAUGUAAUUUUUGUCUGUGGGUGGCGGUUUCGAUUGAGCAACAAAA
Molecule: long non-coding RNA, 661 nt
Organism: Daphnia carinata
Lineage: Eukaryota; Metazoa; Arthropoda; Branchiopoda; Diplostraca; Daphniidae
Exons: 5
Source: RefSeq, a predicted model, not a curated record